GGGGACGUGCUUAUGCUUUUACAGGUACAUCAAUAUUCUCUCUUUUUCUUUCCUAUUUUCUGACAAAUAGCUGUUUGGUUUUGCAUCUGCUGGACAAAAUUCAGACUUUCACACCCCCACCACAAUCCACCACCACCCCACAAACAACCAAUUUUCGCUAUUGUUUACUUUCAACUCCAAGAGAAUUGAUUCAUUCUCAGAUUCAGAUAACUCUGAAUUAAUACGUAUAAGAUAUUAGCCAGUGAAAGCAAAAUGUCUCUGACUUGCAUAAACUUUCCCAUUUCAAUUAUUUGAUUAUGAAAUUUCAAUAAUUUUCCAUGUUAGAAUUGUUAUUCCUUGAAUAAGUUUCAAUAGCUGGAGUUAUUUGGUAGUAUUAUUUAUUGUGUUAUUGCAUACAUAUUCUGCAAGCCACUUGCAGUUGUAAAUUAUUGAUUUAUUUUCUGGCUUCCAGCGCAUUAAUGCCAUUACAAAAUAAAUAAUAAAUUCAAUUUCAAAGUCGUUCAAUCCAUGAAGAGAAAAGGACAAAUGAACUGUUGAUUAUCCCCGGACUGUUGAUUAUCUUCAUAUUGAUUGGUUUAAUCCUUAUGCAGAGAUUAAGAUCUUGGCAGAUA
This 611-nucleotide unclassified non-coding RNA is filed under the name Hevea brasiliensis (rubber tree). The record is from RNAcentral. Lineage: Eukaryota; Viridiplantae; Streptophyta; Magnoliopsida; Malpighiales; Euphorbiaceae.